GGCCUGGUGGCCUAAUGGUAAGGCGUUGCUUUCCGGUGGUGCCUUAAUGGCCGUGAUUGGCAAAGAUUGCGGGUUCGAGUCCCGUCUGGGUCG
This 93-nucleotide transfer RNA is filed under the name Blumeria graminis f. sp. tritici. It matches the Rfam family "tRNA". From Rfam's summary of the family: Transfer RNA (tRNA) molecules are approximately 80 nucleotides in length. Their secondary structure includes four short double-helical elements and three loops (D, anti-codon, and T loops). Further hydrogen bonds mediate the characteristic L-shaped molecular structure. tRNAs have two regions of fundamental functional importance: the anti-codon, which is responsible for specific mRNA codon recognition, and the 3' end, to which the tRNAs corresponding amino acid is attached (by aminoacyl-tRNA synthetases). tRNAs cope with the degeneracy of the genetic code in two manners: having more than one tRNA (with a specific anti-codon) for a particular amino acid; and 'wobble' base-pairing, i.e. permitting non-standard base-pairing at the 3rd anti-codon position. Lineage: Eukaryota; Fungi; Ascomycota; Leotiomycetes; Helotiales; Erysiphaceae. RNAcentral also lists the same sequence under 1 other name. The record is from Rfam by way of RNAcentral.